Molecule: ribosomal RNA, 253 nt
Filed under: uncultured bacterium
Lineage: Bacteria
Description: partial 16S ribosomal RNA
Rfam family: Bacterial small subunit ribosomal RNA
Source: RNAcentral
UACGAAGGUCCCAAGCGUUGUUCGGAAUCACUGGGCGUAAAGGGUGCGUAGGCGGCGCGGAAAGUCAGAUGUGAAAGCCCCGGGCUCAACCCGGGAACUGCAUCCGAUACUCCCGUGCUAGAGGAUUGGAGAGGAGUCUGGAAUUCACGGUGUAGCAGUGAAAUGCGUAGAUAUCGUGAGGAACACUCGUGGCGAAGGCGAGACUCUGGACAAUUCCUGACGCUGAGGCACGAAGGCCGGGGGAGCAAACAGG